CUUGAGAUAGUUCUUUGUGAGG
RNAcentral lists this small nuclear RNA (22 nucleotides) under Arabidopsis thaliana (thale cress). RNAcentral's name for it is "snRNA_02988". Lineage: Eukaryota; Viridiplantae; Streptophyta; Magnoliopsida; Brassicales; Brassicaceae. The record is from RNAcentral.